This is a non-coding RNA of Pangasianodon gigas (Mekong giant catfish), 72 nucleotides long. NCBI's taxonomy places the organism in Eukaryota, Metazoa, Chordata, Actinopteri, Siluriformes, Pangasiidae. The record is from the annotation of a GenBank genome assembly.
GUGAACAACUGAUGAUGAAGAUGAUGAUAUUAUUAAAACAGCUUAAAGUAGCUUUUAAGUAGAUGAUGAUAA